Molecule: ribosomal RNA, 468 nt
Filed under: uncultured bacterium
Lineage: Bacteria
Description: partial 16S ribosomal RNA
Rfam family: Bacterial small subunit ribosomal RNA
Source: RNAcentral
GACGAACGCUGGCGGCGUGCUUAACACAUGCAAGUCGAACGGAAAGGCCCUGCUUUUGUGGGGUGCUCGAGUGGCGAACGGGUGAGUAACACGUGAGUAACCUGCCCUUGACUUUGGGAUAACUUCAGGAAACUGGGGCUAAUACCGGAUAGGAGCUCCUGCUGCAUGGUGGGGGUUGGAAAGUUUCGGCGGUUGGGGAUGGACUCGCGGCUUAUCAGCUUGUUGGUGGGGUAGUGGCUUACCAAGGCUUUGACGGGUAGCCGGCCUGAGAGGGUGACCGGCGACAUUGGGACUGAGAUACGGCCCAGACUCCUACGGGAGGCAGCAGUGGGGAAUAUUGCACAAUGGGCGGAAGCCUGAUGCAGCAACGCCGCGCGCGGGAUGACGGCCUUCGGGUUGUAAACCGCUUUCGCCUGUAACGAAGCGUGAGUGACGGUAAUGGGUAAAGAAGCACCGGCUAACUACGUG